This 2700-nucleotide ribosomal RNA is filed under the name Staphylococcus aureus SJUD6111. Its description in RNAcentral is "bacterial LSU rRNA". It matches the Rfam family "Bacterial large subunit ribosomal RNA". Lineage: Bacteria; Bacillati; Bacillota; Bacilli; Caryophanales; Staphylococcaceae. The record is from RNAcentral.
AAAGAAAAUUCGAUUCCCUUAGUAGCGGCGAGCGAAACGGGAAGAGCCCAAACCAACAAGCUUGCUUGUUGGGGUUGUAGGACACUCUAUACGGAGUUACAAAGGACGACAUUAGACGAAUCAUCUGGAAAGAUGAAUCAAAGAAGGUAAUAAUCCUGUAGUCGAAAAUGUUGUCUCUCUUGAGUGGAUCCUGAGUACGACGGAACACGUGAAAUUCCGUCGGAAUCUGGGAGGACCAUCUCCUAAGGCUAAAUACUCUCUAGUGACCGAUAGUGAACCAGUACCGUGAGGGAAAGGUGAAAAGCACCCCGGAAGGGGAGUGAAAUAGAACCUGAAACCGUGUGCUUACAAGUAGUCAGAGCCCGUUAAUGGGUGAUGGCGUGCCUUUUGUAGAAUGAACCGGCGAGUUACGAUUUGAUGCAAGGUUAAGCAGUAAAUGUGGAGCCGUAGCGAAAGCGAGUCUGAAUAGGGCGUUUAGUAUUUGGUCGUAGACCCGAAACCAGGUGAUCUACCCUUGGUCAGGUUGAAGUUCAGGUAACACUGAAUGGAGGACCGAACCGACUUACGUUGAAAAGUGAGCGGAUGAACUGAGGGUAGCGGAGAAAUUCCAAUCGAACCUGGAGAUAGCUGGUUCUCUCCGAAAUAGCUUUAGGGCUAGCCUCAAGUGAUGAUUAUUGGAGGUAGAGCACUGUUUGGACGAGGGGCCCCUCUCGGGUUACCGAAUUCAGACAAACUCCGAAUGCCAAUUAAUUUAACUUGGGAGUCAGAACAUGGGUGAUAAGGUCCGUGUUCGAAAGGGAAACAGCCCAGACCACCAGCUAAGGUCCCAAAAUAUAUGUUAAGUGGAAAAGGAUGUGGCGUUGCCCAGACAACUAGGAUGUUGGCUUAGAAGCAGCCAUCAUUUAAAGAGUGCGUAAUAGCUCACUAGUCGAGUGACACUGCGCCGAAAAUGUACCGGGGCUAAACAUAUUACCGAAGCUGUGGAUUGUCCUUUGGACAAUGGUAGGAGAGCGUUCUAAGGGCGUUGAAGCAUGAUCGUAAGGACAUGUGGAGCGCUUAGAAGUGAGAAUGCCGGUGUGAGUAGCGAAAGACGGGUGAGAAUCCCGUCCACCGAUUGACUAAGGUUUCCAGAGGAAGGCUCGUCCGCUCUGGGUUAGUCGGGUCCUAAGCUGAGGCCGACAGGCGUAGGCGAUGGAUAACAGGUUGAUAUUCCUGUACCACCUAUAAUCGUUUUAAUCGAUGGGGGGACGCAGUAGGAUAGGCGAAGCGUGCGAUUGGAUUGCACGUCUAAGCAGUAAGGCUGAGUAUUAGGCAAAUCCGGUACUCGUUAAGGCUGAGCUGUGAUGGGGAGAAGACAUUGAGUCUUCGAGUCGUUGAUUUCACACUGCCGAGAAAAGCCUCUAGAUAGAAAAUAGGUGCCCGUACCGCAAACCGACACAGGUAGUCAAGAUGAGAAUUCUAAGGUGAGCGAGCGAACUCUCGUUAAGGAACUCGGCAAAAUGACCCCGUAACUUCGGGAGAAGGGGUGCUCUUUAGGGUUAACGCCCAGAAGAGCCGCAGUGAAUAGGCCCAAGCGACUGUUUAUCAAAAACACAGGUCUCUGCUAAACCGUAAGGUGAUGUAUAGGGGCUGACGCCUGCCCGGUGCUGGAAGGUUAAGAGGAGUGGUUAGCUUCUGCGAAGCUACGAAUCGAAGCCCCAGUAAACGGCGGCCGUAACUAUAACGGUCCUAAGGUAGCGAAAUUCCUUGUCGGGUAAGUUCCGACCCGCACGAAAGGCGUAACGAUUUGGGCACUGUCUCAACGAGAGACUCGGUGAAAUCAUAGUACCUGUGAAGAUGCAGGUUACCCGCGACAGGACGGAAAGACCCCGUGGAGCUUUACUGUAGCCUGAUAUUGAAAUUCGGCACAGCUUGUACAGGAUAGGUAGGAGCCUUUGAAACGUGAGCGCUAGCUUACGUGGAGGCGCUGGUGGGAUACUACCCUAGCUGUGUUGGCUUUCUAACCCGCACCACUUAUCGUGGUGGGAGACAGUGUCAGGCGGGCAGUUUGACUGGGGCGGUCGCCUCCUAAAAGGUAACGGAGGCGCUCAAAGGUUCCCUCAGAAUGGUUGGAAAUCAUUCAUAGAGUGUAAAGGCAUAAGGGAGCUUGACUGCGAGACCUACAAGUCGAGCAGGGUCGAAAGACGGACUUAGUGAUCCGGUGGUUCCGCAUGGAAGGGCCAUCGCUCAACGGAUAAAAGCUACCCCGGGGAUAACAGGCUUAUCUCCCCCAAGAGUUCACAUCGACGGGGAGGUUUGGCACCUCGAUGUCGGCUCAUCGCAUCCUGGGGCUGUAGUCGGUCCCAAGGGUUGGGCUGUUCGCCCAUUAAAGCGGUACGCGAGCUGGGUUCAGAACGUCGUGAGACAGUUCGGUCCCUAUCCGUCGUGGGCGUAGGAAAUUUGAGAGGAGCUGUCCUUAGUACGAGAGGACCGGGAUGGACAUACCUCUGGUGUACCAGUUGUCGUGCCAACGGCAUAGCUGGGUAGCUAUGUGUGGACGGGAUAAGUGCUGAAAGCAUCUAAGCAUGAAGCCCCCCUCAAGAUGAGAUUUCCCAACUUCGGUUAUAAGAUCCCUCAAAGAUGAUGAGGUUAAUAGGUUCGAGGUGGAAGCAUGGUGACAUGUGGAGCUGACGAAUACUAAUCGAUCGAAGACUUAAUCAA